This 301-nucleotide ribosomal RNA is filed under the name uncultured bacterium. RNAcentral's name for it is "partial 16S ribosomal RNA". It matches the Rfam family "Bacterial small subunit ribosomal RNA", at positions 509 to 807 of the family's 1533-position model. The record is from RNAcentral.
CAGUCGCCGCGGUAAUACGAAGGGGGCUAGCGUUGUUCGGAAUUACUGGGCGUAAAGCGCGUGUAGGCGGGUCUUUAAGUCAGAGGUGAAAUGCCAAGGCUCAACCUUGGAACUGCCUUUGAUACUGGAGAUCUUGAGUCCGGGAGAGGUGAGUGGAAUUGCGAGUGUAGAGGUGAAAUUCGUAGAUAUUCGCAAGAACACCAGUGGCGAAGGCGGCUCACUGGCCCGGAACUGACGCUGAGAUGCGAAAGCGUGGGGAGCAAACAGGAUUAGAGACCCCAGUAGUCCCUGUCUCUUAUAC